CCCAAGGCCCUUUUCAGGGCCACCGUGUAGUCAAAAUCACAGCCCAG
Dethiosulfatarculus sandiegensis is the source of this 47-nucleotide non-coding RNA. The record is from Rfam. Lineage: Bacteria; Pseudomonadati; Thermodesulfobacteriota; Desulfarculia; Desulfarculales; Desulfarculaceae.